Molecule: long non-coding RNA, 1180 nt
Filed under: Triticum aestivum (bread wheat)
Lineage: Eukaryota; Viridiplantae; Streptophyta; Magnoliopsida; Poales; Poaceae
Description: long non-coding RNA (TAES_LNC013156)
Source: RNAcentral
UCCUCUCUUCUCUUAUCUUAUCCUCUCCUCUUCUCUUAUCUUAAGUCCCUACUGCUUACUCACUCUGUCAUUUUCCAGUAAGUCCCUGCUCAUUUUCUUAGCUUUAUUUUGUACCUGUAGGUUCUAUCUCACAUCUCUGAGCCAAAGUUUCUCACAUGCUUGUUUAUUCAAUAUUUUUCUGACAUACGCGUAAUACAGAUGGCGUGCCCAAAGUGAAGUCUGACCGCACUCUCCUUAAGGCAAGGGAUUUGGGUUUUGGCUAUCCGGAGACUUUGAAAGAUCAGUGGUAACAUACUUUUAGCCGUGAAGGGUGAAAUGCUCAAAUGUUUUUGUGCCAAUGAAAGAUCCAGCUUCCAUCUAUGCCGUGAAGGGUGAAAUGCUCAAAUCUUUAUUUUGUUUUCGUGGUACCCCUUUUGUGCCAAUGAAAGAUCUUCCUGACAGAGAGGGCUUAAGGAUCUUCCUGUCAGAGGAGUACAUUAUUUUGUUUGACAGGAGUAUUUCAAGAUCAAUACAUUAUUUUGUUUGACAGGAGGGCUUAAGGACCUAUCAUGGUGAUUUCAUAUUAAAAUUGAGGAGUACUCCUGUUCAUUUGGAGAACUCAAACAGCAAUUGAUAUGCAUCAAAAUUGGGAUCAACAGUAGCAUGGGGCCUUAUCAUUCUGGUUUUUGGAUGACUUAGUUAAUCAAAUUCCUCAAUUGAGGAACACCUGGACUUGUCAUUCCGGUCUUGGGAUAUGGACUUAUCAUUCUGGUUUUUGGAUGAUUUAGUUAAUCAAAUUGACAUCAAUUGACCUGUUUUUUGGAUCACUUGCAGAUUCUCUUGAUUGGAGUGGAGAGGAGCAGAGACGAGAGGAGCAGCAGAAGUGGACAGCGCAGCGGCUGACCUUGAGCUCUUGAUUGCAGUGGGGGGAGGCGGCCGGCGAAGGAUCUGUGGCCAGCAGCGAAGGAUCCAAAGCUGUGGCGGAGCAGGCAGCCGGCGGGAAGGGCGGCUGGCGAGGGAGCUGCGGACCGCGGCGGGGAAGGGCGACCGAUGAGGGAGCUGCGGACCACGGCGGGGGGAGCUGCGGACCGCGGCGGGGAAGGGCGACCGAUGAGGGAGCUGCGGACCACGGCGGGGAAGGGCGGCCGGCCGGCAAGGCAGCUGCGGACCGCGGCGGGGAAGGGCGGCCGGCCGGCAAGGC